GACGAACGCUGGCGGCGUGCUUAACACAUGCAAGUCGAACGGAAAGGCCCUGCUUUUGUGGGGUGCUCGAGUGGCGAACGGAUGAGUAACACGUGAGUAACCUGCCCUUGACUUUGGGAUAACUUCAGGAAACUGGGGCUAAUACCGGAUAGGAGCUCCUGCUGCAUGGUGGGGGUUGGAAAGUUUCGGCGGUUGGGGAUGGACUCGCGGCUUAUCAGCUUGUUGGUGGGGUAGUGGCUUACCAAGGCUUUGACGGGUAGCCGGCCUGAGAGGGUGACCGGCCACAUUGGGACUGAGAUACGGCCCAGACUCCUACGGGAGGCAGCAGUGGGGAAUAUUGCACAAUGGGCGGAAGCCUGAUGCAGCAACGCCGCGUGCGGGAUGACGGCCUUCGGGUUGUAAACCGCUUUCGCCUGUGACGAAGCGUGAGUGACGGUAAUGGGUAAAGAAGCACCGGCUAACUACGUGCCAGCAGCCGCGGUGAUACGUAGGGUGCGAGCGUUGUCCGGAUUUAUUGGGCGUAAAGGGCUCGUAGGUGGUUGAUCGCGUCGGAAGUGUAAUCUUGGGGCUUAACCCUGAGCGUGCUUUCGAUACGGGUUGACUUGAGGAAGGUUGGGGAGAAUGGAAUUCCUGGUGGAGCGGUGGAAUGCGCAGAUAUCAGGAGGAACACCAGUGGCGAAGGCGGUUCUCUGGGCCUUUCCUGACGCUGAGGAGCGAAAGCGUGGGGAGCGAACAGGCUUAGAUACCCUGGUAGUCCACGCUGUAAACGGUGGGUACUAGGUGUGGGGUCCAUUCCACGGGUUCCGUGCCGUAGCUAGCGCUUUAGGUACCCCGCCUGGGGAGUACGGCCGCAAGGCUAAAACUCAAAGGAAUUGACGGGGCCCCGCACAAGCGGCGGAGCAUGCGGAUUAAUUCGAUGCAACGCGUAGAACCUUACCUGGGUUUGACAUGGAUCGGGAGUGCUCAGAGAUGGGUGUGCCUCUUUUGGGGUCGGUUCACAGGUGGUGCAUGCCUGUCGUCAGCUCGUGUCGUGAGAUGUUGGGUUAAGUCCCGCAACGAGCGCAACCCUUGUUCACUGUUGCCAGCACGUUAUGGUGGGGACUCAGUGGAGACCGCCGGGGUCAACUCGGAGGAAGGUGGGGAUGACGUCAAGUCAUCAUGCCCCUUAUGUCCAGGGCUUCACGCAUGCUACAAUGGCUGGUACAGAGAGUGGCGAGCCUGUGAGGGUGAGCGAAUCUCGGAAAGCCGGUCUCAGUUCGGAUUGGGGUCUGCAACUCGACCUCAUGAAGUCGGAGUCGCUAGUAAUCGCAGAUCAGCAACGCUGCGGUGAAUACGUUCCCGGG
This 1343-nucleotide ribosomal RNA is filed under the name uncultured bacterium. RNAcentral describes it as "16S ribosomal RNA". It matches the Rfam family "Bacterial small subunit ribosomal RNA", at positions 28 to 1378 of the family's 1533-position model. The record is from RNAcentral.